Sorex araneus (European shrew) is the source of this 103-nucleotide small nuclear RNA. The record is from Ensembl. Lineage: Eukaryota; Metazoa; Chordata; Mammalia; Eulipotyphla; Soricidae.
UAGCAGGACAUGCAAAUGUACUUAAAUUAGAUCAAUACAAAGAAAAUUAGCUCGGUUCCUGAGAAAGGAUGAUGUGCAGAUUCGUGAGGCCUUCCACAUUUAA